This 253-nucleotide ribosomal RNA is filed under the name uncultured bacterium. Its description in RNAcentral is "partial 16S ribosomal RNA". It matches the Rfam family "Bacterial small subunit ribosomal RNA", at positions 524 to 776 of the family's 1533-position model. The record is from RNAcentral.
UACGUAGGGGGCAAGCGUUGUCCGGAUUUAUUGGGCGUAAAGAGCGUGUAGGCGGCUAGGUAGGUCCGUUGUGAAAACUCGAGGCUCAACCUCGAGACGUCGAUGGAAACCAUCUGGCUAGAGUCCGGAAGAGGAGAGUGGAAUUCCUGGUGUAGCGGUGAAAUGCGCAGAUAUCAGGAAGAACACCCGUGGCGAAGGCGGCUCACUGGGCCGGUACUGACGCUGAGGUGCGAAAGCGUGGGGAGCAAACAGG